GAGCUCCCUUCGGCAGCAUAUAUACUAAAACUGGAACUAUAGAGAAUAGACUAGCAUGGCCCUUGGCAGGAUGAUGUGCAAAUUCAAGAAGCAUUGCAUUUCGGG
RNAcentral lists this small nuclear RNA (105 nucleotides) under Meriones unguiculatus (Mongolian gerbil). The record is from RNAcentral. Lineage: Eukaryota; Metazoa; Chordata; Mammalia; Rodentia; Muridae.